RNAcentral lists this ribosomal RNA (347 nucleotides) under uncultured bacterium. RNAcentral describes it as "partial 16S ribosomal RNA". It matches the Rfam family "Bacterial small subunit ribosomal RNA", at positions 338 to 682 of the family's 1533-position model. The record is from RNAcentral.
CCUACGGGAGACAGCAGUGAGGAAUAUUGGUAAAUGGACGCAAGUCUGAACCAGCCAUGCCGCGUGCAGGAAGACGGCUCUAGGAGUUGUAAACUGCUUUUGUACGAGGGAAAAGCCCGAGACGGGUAGCGGGUGGAAAGUAUCGUACGAAGAAGGAGCGGCUAACUCCGUGCCAGCAGCCGCGGUAAUACGGAGGAUUCAAGCGUUAUCCGGAUUUAUUGGGUUUAAAGGGUGCGUAGGCGGUUCGAUAAGGUAGAGGGGAAAUCCCGGGGCUCAACUCCGGCACUGCCUCUGAUACUUUCGGUCUAUAGUUUAGUUGCGGUAGGCGGAAUGUCUGGUGUAGCGGU